Long non-coding RNA from Microcebus murinus (gray mouse lemur), 3580 nucleotides. RefSeq lists it as uncharacterized. Lineage: Eukaryota; Metazoa; Chordata; Mammalia; Primates; Cheirogaleidae. The record is from RefSeq and is a predicted model, not a curated record.
GGUGCCGCUGAGGCGGCGGUGCUGGCGCUGGGAGCGGCUGCGAGAGAGGUCUGGCUGCACAGUGAAUGUGAUGCCCUCGAUUCAUCCCCACACCAUCCCACGGCCCCGUCCAUCUAUGGAAAAACUGUUGUCCACGAAACUGGUCUCUGGUGCCCAAAAGUUUAGGGAACACGGCCCUAUGAUAUACAGCCCAGAUUUCCCACCACCUACUGAAUAAAUGACUCCAGAGAAGUUACCAUGUGCCUGCUCAUGAUCAGGUGGAAUUCUGAAGCCUACACCCUUAGACAUUAGACUCUCUUCUAUCAAAAUCCUAUCAUUUCUAGCUGUGUGGACCUCAGGAAGAUCUCCUUAGUACUUCUUGCAGUUCUAUCCAGUCCUUCUGAAGACACGUGGCUCCCGAAGCUUUCAGGCACUCGUGGAAGGUCCCUGGGGUGGGCUUCCCUGGAGGCCUGGGUGUGCGAGCCUAAGUUGGAAUGUUUGACACAGAGGAAGCCCUUGUGAGAGCCGGGCUUGCUGGUCCAGACUGUCUCCAAAGGCGUGUUCCUGGGACCAAACCAGAGCACAAUGAAGAAAGAAGGGAAAGUAGCCAUCGGCUUGCAUCGCAGUAAGGAGAGAGCAUGACUCCAAGAACUUUCCAGGGCGUUCCCAACUUGACAUUUCCUUCCUUGACCUUUGAGCUAAACUUAGCAUUAUCUUUAGAAAAAGGCAGUUUCCCCAAGAACUCAAACCACAGAUCUCUGAACUCAAGAAGGCAGAUUCAGGGAUAGCUUUGCAUCUGGCUUAUUUAACACGGAGGUACAUAUCCUUGAAAUCGCCCUGCCCAUCUCAGGAGAGUCAGCCAAUGGGUCCUGAGACUGGAACGAGACUUGGCUAUUCUGUGGUCUUUUGCCUAUAUAAAGUAUGACAUCCUGGGUGAUAAUGUAGCCAUUAUUACAUCGCUCUGCAGUUUUUCUCCAUUGAUAUUCCUUGAUCUGCAUCCAAGCAUAAAGAAAAAGAUGUUGCUUUUGCCUUUGACACUGGUGACAGCCUCGGUACCUGGAGUGAUGGGCAGUGGUAGAAGUCAGCAAAGAGGGUCAGGUCCUUAUGGCUUUGGACCUGCCUGCUGCUCCAGCGUCUCCUCCUCAGCAGCUCCCAGCCGCCUCCCAUGCCCCGUGUUUCAGUCGUGCAGAUUGCUUGGGUCCUUUGAGUGACUCUUGCUCUCUGACAGUGUCUUGUCUCCCUCUAAAACACUGACCCCUUGACCUCUCCAUCUGAUUAAUUCCCCCAGCAGGAUACACCUGACCUCUUAACCUUGUCAGAUGCUCUGUGAGCAUCUUUUGAUUUUCUGAAGCCAAGACUUUAUAUGCUAAUGAUCUGUUAACUUCUCUGGCUCUCCUCCUCUCUGUUUGCUAAACAAUCAUCAGGAGGUGCCACAGCAAAGUGCCCGGCUCUCCCAUCAAAAUGCCUGUGUUCAAAUCCCUGUUCCCUGACCCACAUUAUUAGCUGUGUAUAUUAAGUGGUCAACUCAACUCUCUACCCUCUCUUCUCUCAUUUGUAAACUGUGGAUGAUGAUGAUGUCUAUCUUGUAAGUCUGGAGGGAGGGAAAGCACAGGAACAGUUUAGCCUAGCGCGUGGCUCCAUGGUAGACAGUCAAUAAGCUUUAGCCACCAUAUUAAAUAGAUAGCCAAUAUCAUUCUUACCAGCUUCCAACACAGCGUCCACAGUUAAGGCACUACCCGUAUUCCUGCUUGCCACUCUUCCUCGCACCACUGUCUGGCCAUGCUGGCCUUCUGUAUGUUCCUAAAACUGUUAAAACUUUUCCCUGCCUCAGGGCUUUUGCACUAGCUGAUCCCCAUGUCUAGAGCACAUUUCCCUGACUUGUUUCCUGUGUGGUUGACUUCUACUGCUCCUAUUUCUGCUCAAUUGACAGAAAGCCCAAGAGGGCUUUGGUCUUAUCCUACGUGAAGUAGACAACCUGAACCCCUGUGCUAUCUGCUCUCACAGCACUGGAUCCUAUAGUUACUUUAUCUGCUUCUAGAUUUCCUGUGUCUUGCCCUAGCUUAUAAAUUCUCUGAGGGAAGAGUCUCACCUUCCUCUUCUCUUGGUAUCUCUAGCAUCUAUCUGUGUCUAGCACACUAUAUGGGUAUUUGCUGGAUGAAUAAAUAAAUUAGUGAAGGAAUGCACAACUCUCAGAAAAUUCAGCAAAUGCUAUAGUUGGCAAACACCAAAAGACAUAGCAGAAAAUCCAAGCUCUUCUUUAGCAGCAGCUGCUAACACAGAAGUGUGUCUCUAUUUUCCCUUAUCAAGACCGACAAGAUGACACAAAGUCCUUUGAGCUCCUUGGAGGGAAAUAGCAAUGCAUAAACACAAAAGAUAAUCUUGUUUCUUUUUAUGAAUUCAAAAUAAUUUUUGAAAAGGAACAGGCCCUCUCAAAGCAUUAUGCCCACGCAAUCUUUGCUUUAAGUAGCAAAAAACCCCAAAUAGUUUUAUGAUCUCUAAUGUAAUACAGAUGUAGAGGGUAAGAAUUUGAUGGUCAAUUAAUUUAGAAAAUAUCCAGGGCCUAGAGAGGUUCAACUUAUUGACUUUGAAAUUUGACUCAUGAUUCCAAUGCCCCCCUGCUCUUUUCCCCAUCUCUAGAUAUAAAAAGAAAGGAAAGCUUGUAAUAUUGCCUAUGGAAUGUUCUAGAGAGGUUGUUAAGCUGUUCUUCAUAAAAACUCUUGGACCAGGUUUUCCUGGCCCUUUCCAACUGGGCCCGUUCCUGAGCAUUGAAGUGAAGUAAUAUUAAACUGGCAGGCUGCUGAGAGCUGAUUAUUGUGGGGAGUUGAAAGGAAAGAGCUGGCAUCUUUGUGCUUCAUUAAUCUUCGAAGGAGAAAGAAAGCUCUGGCCACAGGACCAAAUGCCCACAUGUCAGAGCUUGAUUUCCUGUUCUUCUGGGUUUCAGUAUGAAUGUAAAGCAAAUGUUUCAGGGAGCUCCAGGCAGCUGGGGGCAUGCUCCUCCCCCACGUGACCAGGCCUUGGAUUCAUGAAUUAAUAUCCAGCUCGGAGAACGCUGAUCGCUGUCGAGGCUAGCGGCGAUCUGGUGCUGAGAGCUGUGGGCACAGCGAUCGAUCCAUCAGCCAGCCGAUUACAUGGUUAUUGAACUUCCUCCAUAUUGUUGGGCAAAGUGAGGCCCUCCUUUUCUUUGCUUCCAAAAUACUUCACACAUACUGUCACACACUCAGAAACUAUUUUUGUGGAUAACAGCUUUAUUUAGGUAUAAUUCUUAGAUCAUACAAUUCAUCCAUUAAAAUGUACAAUUCAUUUCUUUUUGGUAUAUCCACAGUGCUGCACAACCGCCAACACAAUCAAUUUGAGAACAUUUGCAUCAUCUCCCAAAGAAUAUCUGUUACCUUUGAGCUAUCAUCUCACCAAAACCCAUAUCGUCUCUCUUUAAGCCCUUGGCAAUCACUGAUCUGCUUUCUGUCUCUAAAGGUUUGCCAAGUCUGGAUACUUCAUAUAAAUAGAAUCAUGCAAUAUGUGGUCUUUAGUGACUGGCUGUAAUAGCAUUUUGUUUGUGACUUGUUUAUCUUUGUGCCAGGCCCAAAAAAGAUUCUAAUAAAAA